Molecule: ribosomal RNA, 497 nt
Filed under: uncultured bacterium
Lineage: Bacteria
Description: partial 16S ribosomal RNA
Rfam family: Bacterial small subunit ribosomal RNA
Source: RNAcentral
GAUGAACGCUGGCGGCGUGCCUAAUACAUGCAAGUCGAGCGAACAGAUGAGGAGCUUGCUCCUCUGACGUUAGCGGCGGACGGGUGAGUAACACGUGGAUAACCUACCUAUAAGACUGGGAUAACUUCGGGAAACCGGAGCUAAUACCGGAUAAUAUAUUGAACCGCAUGGUUCAAUAGUGAAAGACGGUUUUGCUGUCACUUAUAGAUGGAUCCGCGCCGCAUUAGCUAGUUGGUAAGGUAACGGCUUACCAAGGCAACGAUGCGUAGCCGACCUGAGAGGGUGAUAGGCCACACUGGAACUGAGACACGGUCCAGACUCCUACGGGAGGCAGCAGUAGGGAAUCUUCCGCAAUGGGCGAAAGCCUGACGGAGCAACGCCGCGUGAGUGAUGAAGGUCUUCGGAUCGUAAAACUCUGUUAUUAGGGAAGAACAAAUGUGUAAGUAACUAUGCACGUCUUGACGGUACCUAAUCGGAAAGCAACGGCUAACUACGUG